ACCAGACUCCUACGGGAGGCAGCAGUGGGGGAUAUUGCACAAUGGGGGGAACCCUGAUGCAGCGACGCCGCGUGGGUGAAGGAGUAUUUCGGUAUGUAAAGCCCUAUCGGCAGGGAAGAAGCAAGACGGUACCUGACUAAGAAGCCCCGGCUAACUACGUGCCAGCAGCCGCGGUAAUACGUAGGGGGCGAGCGUUAUCCGGAUUCACUGGGUGUAAAGGGAGCGUAGACGGCCAAGCAAGCCAGGGGUGAAAGCCCGGGGCCCAACCCCGGGACUGCCCUUGGAACUGCUUGGCUGGAGUGCGGGAGGGGCAGGCGGAAUUCCUGGUGUAGCGGUGAAAUGCGUAGAUAUCAGGAGGAACACCGGCGGCGAAGGCGGCCUGCUGGACCGCUACUGACGUUGAGGCUCGAAAGCGUGGGGAGCAAACAGGAUUAGAUACCCCCGUAG
RNAcentral lists this ribosomal RNA (447 nucleotides) under uncultured bacterium. RNAcentral describes it as "partial 16S ribosomal RNA". It matches the Rfam family "Bacterial small subunit ribosomal RNA", at positions 330 to 793 of the family's 1533-position model. The record is from RNAcentral.